GGAUUUCCCUACACGCCCCCUUGUUUUAGAGGCGAAGUGGGCGAAGCUCCUUGUCCGUCCGCCGUCGGAUCACAAGCACUGUCGCCCCAGCGGCAUCUACUGGGGCCGUUUUGGCCGCCGACGGGUCGACUUUUCCGUUGCCAGCUCGUCGCAAGUCCGAAUAGAGACCGACGUAUAAAAGAACUGAACAUCAGCCGACACCCUUUUAUGUUCCCAACCACACUGGCAGGCGCAGCGGAUCGCGACGCGAAAGAGCAACAACCUGGAAAACACCGCAUCAGUGCGUAGAGACACAUCUGGCAAAAGUUGGCCAAUAUAGCUUCCGGAAAGGUCUCGAACCGGAAGCAUGUCACAAGAAACCUCCCUGUAGGCUAACCGAGCAUAAGGUCCGACACAGUCUCUCGUGCAAAAGAGGCCGCUUUUAUUUUCAGUCAGCGUCGUAAUCGUCGUCCUCCCUCUUCCUUUUCUUGUCGGCCUCCGCACCGUUGUUCUCGCUCUUGAUGUUGAUGAUGGGCAGCAUGGCGGGCUGAACCACCGUCCCUGAAGAAGCGCCGGUCGUAAAGGUGCCGGCGAGACUCGCCCCGCCCGCAAGCGCUGAAGUGGGUGCCGCGACGGACAACGCCGAAGUGGCCGGGACCGCGGAUGUCGCUGCCACUUGUGGGGGGCCGGUGACUGGCGUCACAGAAGAGACCGCGGGCCCCGAGGACACCGACGUGCUCAAGGUCGGGGGUGGUCCUGUCGAGAAAGCGUUCAAGGUCAGCUAAAACCAGCGAUGUAUCCGCGGAAUUGCAGCACGUCGGUCAAAUCCACAUCGCCUAUUGGGUAAGAGC
This is a long non-coding RNA of Ixodes scapularis (black-legged tick), 830 nucleotides long. RefSeq lists it as uncharacterized. The record is from RefSeq and is a predicted model, not a curated record. The transcript has 3 exons. NCBI's taxonomy places the organism in Eukaryota, Metazoa, Arthropoda, Arachnida, Ixodida, Ixodidae.